GACGAACGCUGGCGGCGUGCUUAACACAUGCAAGUCGUACGAUGACCCGGCUCUUCGGAGCUGGUGAUUAGCGGCGAACGGGUGAGUAACACGUGGGUGACCUGCCCUGCACUCUGGGAUAAGCCCGGGCAACUGGGUCUAAUACUGGAUACGACCAGUGGCCGCAUGGUCUGCUGGUGGAAAGCCCUUCGGGGUGGUGUGGGAUGGGCCGGCGGCCUAUCAGCUUGUUGGUGGGGUGAUGGCCUACCAAGGCGACGACGGGUAGCCGGCCUGAGAGGGUGUCCGGCCACGCUGGUACUGAGACACGGCCCAGACUCCUACGGGAGGCAGCAGUGGGGAAUCUUGGACGAUGGGCGAAAGCCUGAUGCAGCGACGCCGCGUGAGGGAUGACGGCCUUCGGGUUGUAAACCUCUUUCGGCAGGGAACAAGCCUGGGGGUUUUCUUCUGGGUGAGGGUACCUGCGGAAGAAGCACCGGCUAACUACGUG
This 487-nucleotide ribosomal RNA is filed under the name uncultured bacterium. RNAcentral's name for it is "partial 16S ribosomal RNA". It matches the Rfam family "Bacterial small subunit ribosomal RNA", at positions 28 to 507 of the family's 1533-position model. The record is from RNAcentral.